CAGGAAAUAGUUUAUAAAAAUAUUAAUUUUGGAGAUUAAAGAAAAAGAUAAUGUCUUUUUUCCUGA
RNAcentral lists this transfer RNA (66 nucleotides) under Curculionoidea sp. 27 KM-2017. RNAcentral describes it as "tRNA-Pro". Lineage: Eukaryota; Metazoa; Arthropoda; Insecta; Coleoptera. The record is from RNAcentral.